AGUGAACGCUGGCGGCAGGCCUAAUACAUGCAAGUCGAACGGCAGCACAGCAGAGCUUGCUCUGUGGGUGGCGAGUGGCGGACGGGUGAGGAAUACAUGGGAAUCUGCCCAGUCGUGGGGGAUAACGUAGGGAAACUUACGCUAAUACCGCAUGCGCCCUUCGGGGGAAAGCCGGGGACCUUCGGGCCUGGCGCGAUUGGAUGAGCCCAUGUCGGAUUAGCUAGUUGGCGGGGUAAAGGCCCACCAAGGCGACGAUCCGUAGCUGGUCUGAGAGGAUGAUCAGCCACACUGGAACUGAGACACGGUCCAGACUCCUACGGGAGGCAGCAGUAGGGAAUAUUGGACAAUGGGCGCAAGCCUGAUCCAGCCAUGCCGCGUGAGUGAAGAAGGCCCUCGGGUUGUAAAGCUCUUUUGUCCGGAAAGAAAAGCGUCGGGUUAAUACCCCGAUGUCCUGACGGUACCGGAAGAAUAAGCACCGGCUAAUUUCGUGCCAGCAGCCGCGGUAAUACGAAGGGUGCAAGCGUUACUCGGAAUUACUGGGCGUAAAGCGUGCGUAGGUGGUUCGUUAAGUCCGAUGUGAAAGCCCUGGGCUCAACCUGGGAAUGGCAUUGGAUACUGGCGGGCUAGAGUGCGGUAGAGGAUAGUGGAAUUCCUGGUGUAGCAGUGAAAUGCGUAGAGAUCAGGAGGAACAUCCGUGGCGAAGGCGACUGUCUGGACCAGCACUGACACUGAGGCACGAAAGCGUGGGGAGCAAACAGGAUUAGAUACCCUGGUAGUCCACGCCCUAAACGAUGCGAACUGGAUGUUGGGCUCAACUUGGAGCUCAGUAUCGAAGCUAACGCGUUAAGUUCGCCGCCUGGGGAGUACGGUCGCAAGACUGAAACUCAAAGGAAUUGACGGGGGCCCGCACAAGCGGUGGAGUAUGUGGUUUAAUUCGAUGCAACGCGAAGAACCUUACCUGGCCUUGACAUGCACGGAACUUUCCAGAGAUGGAUUGGUGCCUUCGGGAACCGUGACACAGGUGCUGCAUGGCUGUCGUCAGCUCGUGUCGU
This 1052-nucleotide ribosomal RNA is filed under the name uncultured bacterium. RNAcentral's name for it is "bacterial SSU rRNA". It matches the Rfam family "Bacterial small subunit ribosomal RNA", at positions 28 to 1068 of the family's 1533-position model. The record is from RNAcentral.